This 86-nucleotide transfer RNA is filed under the name Treponema sp. Its description in RNAcentral is "tRNA-Leu(taa)". It matches the Rfam family "tRNA". Rfam says of the family: Transfer RNA (tRNA) molecules are approximately 80 nucleotides in length. Their secondary structure includes four short double-helical elements and three loops (D, anti-codon, and T loops). Further hydrogen bonds mediate the characteristic L-shaped molecular structure. tRNAs have two regions of fundamental functional importance: the anti-codon, which is responsible for specific mRNA codon recognition, and the 3' end, to which the tRNAs corresponding amino acid is attached (by aminoacyl-tRNA synthetases). tRNAs cope with the degeneracy of the genetic code in two manners: having more than one tRNA (with a specific anti-codon) for a particular amino acid; and 'wobble' base-pairing, i.e. permitting non-standard base-pairing at the 3rd anti-codon position. Lineage: Bacteria; Pseudomonadati; Spirochaetota; Spirochaetia; Treponematales; Treponemataceae. The record is from RNAcentral. RNAcentral also lists the same sequence under 1 other name.
GCCGGGAUGGCGGAAUUGGUAGACGCCCAGGACUUAAAAUCCUGUGCCGAGCAAUCGGCGUGCCGGUUCAAUCCCGGUUCCCGGCA